GACGAACGCUGGCGGCGUGCUUAACACAUGCAAGUCGAACGGAAAGGCCCUGCUUGCAGGGUGCUCGAGUGGCGAACGGGUGAGUAACACGUGGGUGAUCUGCCCCUUACUUUGGGAUAAGCCUGGGAAACUGGGUCUAAUACUGGAUAGGACCAUGCUGUAGGUGGUGUGGUGGAUAGAUUAGUUUCGGUAAGGGAUGAGCUCGCGGCCUAUCAGCUUGUUGGUGGGGUAAUGGCCUACCAAGGCGUCGACGGGUAGCCGGCCUGAGAGGGUGGACGGCCACAUUGAGACUGAGAUACGGCCCAGAAGCCUACAGGAGGGAGCAGUGGGGGAAAGUGCGAAAUAGGAGCAAGGCGGAUGCAGCGACGGCGCGUGGGGGAUGACGGCCUUCGGGUUGUAAACUCCUUCCAGCCAUGACGAAGCCCUUGUGGUGACGGUAGUGGUAGAAGAAGCACCGGCUAACUACGUG
RNAcentral lists this ribosomal RNA (469 nucleotides) under uncultured bacterium. RNAcentral's name for it is "partial 16S ribosomal RNA". It matches the Rfam family "Bacterial small subunit ribosomal RNA", at positions 28 to 507 of the family's 1533-position model. The record is from RNAcentral.